This 1288-nucleotide ribosomal RNA is filed under the name metagenome. RNAcentral's name for it is "bacterial LSU rRNA". It matches the Rfam family "Bacterial large subunit ribosomal RNA", at positions 1626 to 2925 of the family's 2925-position model. The record is from RNAcentral.
CCGGAAUCGUUGGUGACCGUACCGCAAACCGACUCAGGUGGGCUGGUGGAGAACACCAAGGCGUUCGAGAGAACCCAGGUUAAGGAACUCGGCAAAUUGACACCGUAACUUCGGGAUAAGGUGUGCCAGAGGUAGGUGAAGGGCUUGCGCCUGGAGCCGAUUCUGGUUGCAACAAAGCGGCGGUAGCGACUGUUUACUAAAAACACAGGGCUCUGCGAAACCGUAAGGUGACGUAUAGGGCCUGACGCCUGCCCGGUGCCGGAAGGUUAAGGGGAGUUGUCAGCGCAAGCGAAGCGACGAACUGAAGCCCCGGUAAACGGCGGCCGUAACUAUAACGGUCCUAAGGUAGCGAAAUUCCUUGUCGGGUAAGUUCCGACCUGCACGAAUGGCGUAACGACUUCCGCGCUGUCUCGACCUGGGACUCGGCGAAAUCGACAUGGGGGUGAAGAUGCCCUCUACCCGCGGCAAGACGGAAAGACCCUGUGAACCUUUACUGUAGCUUGGCAGUGGUAUUCGGUUCAUUCUGUGUAGGAUAGGUGGGAGCCUAUGAGUCGGGCACGCUAGUGUCCGAGGAGGCACCGUUGAAAUACCACCCUGGAUGUGCUGGAUACCUAACCCCUUCGGGGGGACACUGCCUGGUAGGCAGUUUGACUGGGGCGGUCGCCUCCUAAAGAGUAACGGAGGCGCGCAAAGGUUCCCUCAGCCAGAUCGGAAACCUGGCGAAGAGUGUAAUCGUAUAAGGGAGCUUGACUGCAAGACCGACAGGUCAAGCAGGUGCGAAAGCAGGCGAUAGUGAUCCGGUGGUUCCACGUGGACGGGCCAUCGCUCAUCGAAUAAAAGGUACUCCGGGGAUAACAGGCUUAUCGCGCCCAAGAGUUCAUAUCGACGGCGCGGUUUGGCACCUCGAUGUCGGCUCAUCGCAUCCUGGGGCUGGAGCAGGUCCCAAGGGUAUGGCUGUUCGCCAUUUAAAGCGGUACGCGAGCUGGGUUUAGAACGUCGUGAGACAGUUCGGUCCCUAUCUGCCGUGGGCGUAGGGAGGUUGAGAGGAGCUGUCCUUAGUACGAGAGGACCGGGAUGGACGUACCUCUGGUGUUCCAGUUGUCGUGCCAACGGCAUUGCUGGGUAGCCACGUACGGUCGGAAUAACCGCUGAAAGCAUCUAAGUGGGAAAUCCUCCUCGAGAUGAGCCUUCCCUGAAGGACCCAGAAAGACUAUCUGGUUGAUAGGCCGGAGGUGCAGGCCCAGCAAUGGGUACAGCUUACCGGUACUAAUCGUCCGAUCGGCUUUAA